This 1324-nucleotide small RNA is filed under the name Pan troglodytes (chimpanzee). RNAcentral's name for it is "processed transcript". Lineage: Eukaryota; Metazoa; Chordata; Mammalia; Primates; Hominidae. The record is from RNAcentral.
CUUUUGAAGGUAGGAGGAAAAAGAAGCGAGUAUGGAGUACUGAAGGCCAAGUAAAGAGUUUUUCAGGGAGAAAGUGGCCAACUGUGUCUCCUCCUGCUGAUUGACAAGUCAAGUAAGAUGAAGACUAGGAGAUGACCAUUGGAUUUAGUAAUAGGAAGGUCCUUGGUGACCUUGCAAGAGCACUUUCAGGAGAAUAGUGAGGAAGAAAACCUGAUUGGUGUGGUUUCAAGAGACAGCAGGAGGAAGAGCAUUGGAGACUGCAGUAUGGACAGCUCUUUGGAAGAGUAUUUCUACCCAUGGCAAAUUCCACCACACCGUCAAGGCUGAGAAUGGGAAGCUUGUCAUCAAUGGAAAUCCCAUCACCAUCUUCCAGGAGCAAGAUCCUACCAAAAUCAAAUGGGGUGAUGCUGAAGCUGAGUACACCGUGGAGUCCACUGGCAUCUUCAUGACCAUGGAGAAGGCUGGGGCUCACUUAAUGGGGGAGCCAAAAGGGUCAUCAUCUCUACCCCCUCUGCUGAUGCCCCCAUAUUCAUAAUGGGCAUGAUCCCUGAGAAGUCUGAAAACAGCCUCAAGAUCAUCAGCAAUGCCUCCUGUACCACCAACUGCUUAAUCCCCCGGCCAAGCCCAUCCAUGACAACUUUGGCAUUGUGGAAGGACUUGUGACCACAAUCCAUGCUACCACUCCUGCCCAGAAGACUCGAUGGCCUCUGUGGGAAACUGUGGCAUAUGUCUGUGGGGCUCUCCAGAACAUCAUCCCUGCAUCUACUGGUGGUGCCAAGGCUGUGGGCAAGGCCAUCCCCGAGCUGAACAGGAAGCUCACUGGCAUGGCCUUCCGUGUCCUUCUGCAAACGUGUUGGUUGUGGACCUGACCUGCCAUCUGGAGAAACCUGCCAAAUAUGAUGACAUCAAAAAGGUGGUGAAGCAGGCGUUGGAGGGCCCCUCAAGGGCAUCUUGGGCUACACUGAACACCAGGUUGUUUCCUCUGACUUUAACAGUGACACUCACUCUUCCACUUUCGAUGCUGGGGCUGGCAUUGCCCUCAAUGACCACUUUGUCAAGCUCAUUUCCUCGUACAACAGUGAAUUUGGCUACAGCAACAGGGUGGUGGCCCAUAUGGCCUCCAAGGAGUAAGACUGCUCGGCAACCAGCCCCAGUGAGAGCACAAGAGGAAGAAAGAGACCUUCAGCUUCUGGGCAGUCCCUGCCAUGCUCAGUCCCCCACCACACUGGGAAUCUCCCCUCUUCACAGUUUCCAUGCAGACCCUACAAAGAGCUCUAUCUUGUCGUGUACCAUCAAUAAAUUCCUCUGUACUCAAAAAAAAAAA